AUUCCUACGGGAGGCAGCAGCCGCGGUAAUAUUGGGCAAUGGGCGCAAGCCUGACCCAGCAACGCCGCGUGAGGGAAGAAGGUCUUCGGAUUGUAAACCUCUGUCCUUGGGGACGAAAAAAUGACGGUACCCAAGGAGGAAGCUCCGGCUAACUACGUGCCAGCAGCCGCGGUAAUAAU
This 179-nucleotide ribosomal RNA is filed under the name uncultured bacterium. RNAcentral describes it as "partial 16S ribosomal RNA". It matches the Rfam family "Bacterial small subunit ribosomal RNA", at positions 335 to 526 of the family's 1533-position model. The record is from RNAcentral.